This is a long non-coding RNA of Bombus pyrosoma, 2958 nucleotides long. RefSeq lists it as uncharacterized. NCBI's taxonomy places the organism in Eukaryota, Metazoa, Arthropoda, Insecta, Hymenoptera, Apidae. The record is from RefSeq and is a predicted model, not a curated record. The transcript has 4 exons.
GCUAAAUUUAACAACUAAAGAAUAACUUUCGAAAAGAAAAAGAAUGCGACAGAACGUCGCUUAACUGCACAAAUAGUAAAAUAGAGAAACGCUGAUGUUAUCAAUGUCGUUCGCAUAAAAGUAAACUUAUGGCAGUAAAUCAGCUGUUUAUUUAAAAUGUUGAACGUUAAUCGUGUAUCCGGAUAAUAAAGUUACGAAAUUUAUACGAAAAGUGGAAUCUCGAUCAGUUUGGCAAUCUGAUAUGUGUAAUAACCAGCCUUGAGAUCAUCGAGGACAGGAUUUCUGAAGCACGCAAAAUCGCGUGAGGAAAGAGGCUCCUCCUCGGUGCUCGUCGAAGAGUAACAACCAACCGGCUGGAAUAUUCAACAAAGUGGUUUCGAUGGACGUUUUGUGCCUCGCGCGUGGUAUCGCAUGCGCGCGCAUCUUCGCUCCAUCCUUUUAAACAACUCUUGUUGAAUUAUCGAUCGACGUUAAAAACAACGCUGCUACAGAGAGGGGCCGUGUAGAAUUUUCGCGUACGCAUCCGUCAUCCUUUGUCGUUCGAUUAAUCAAAAAUUUCGUUGGUUAGCCAGGACUCAUUAACGGGCGACGUUGCUCACCCAUUAAGAUCAGCCUGGAUACAAAUCGAUCUGUCGAGGGAUAACAACGUACACGUGAUUUAAUCGUAGCUGUUUAUCUCCAACAGCCGGUUACUACACAGUAUAGGUGUUGAUCCUCUGGACCAUCUUACACAAUUGCAGCAACGUCAUUAGUGACUAUGUUGUAUAAGAUACUUAAAACUAGAAUGACAAGUCUUUGAAGAAGAAGAAAAAGAACAAGAAAAACAAGUCUUUAUACAUACACAUAAGCUCGUCCCUAAUUAAGGCCAGUGAUCAACCCAUUUCGCAAUGUAAUUCAGUUUCUAAGGGAAUUGAAAGCCAGGAAGUACAUGUACCACAAUAUGAACUGACACUUUAGCUUACUACCAAUGUAACAGUGACACAGUGUCACUGAACUAUUACUAGUUUUCUAGAACUUAAUAACCAAUAACGCUACCUAAUUAGCUAAUCAGUAAAUUGAUCGACACGGUAAAGCUGUAGCAAUAUGUACCUUUAUCCUAACAAAGGCGUGAAAUUAUGGGAUAAUAUAUCUUAUGGGAGUAGAAAUCGACUGGAGAGAAGACAGGUGAAGGAUGGACCAAUUAUUCAUGACGGAUGUUGUCAUUAAAAAAAAUGGCUCGCAAGAAAACCGGGUACCUUACUCCUGCUGGCCAUAUCAGGAACUUCAGACUCACUCGGCGACGAUCAUUGAAUCCUGAGCAGCGGCACGGCUCAUAAAAAUGCAUCGGAUCUCCUCGAGAAAGUUUCACGAAAGUCAGCGUGGAAAAAGAGCGAGAUUUCAGGAUGAUCGGCUGGCAAAAGUGUGUCACCAGUCGUCGAACGAAAAUAAUUGCCUUAUCAGAGGCCGUGAAGGCGAAAGUGUUGUAUAUUGGAAAGGCGAGUCAGAAGUUCAAGGAUGGAUAUACUUUGGAAUACCAACAGACAGUUGGCCAUAAUGACCGCGAGAAGGAUUGAUUCGGCGACUGACGCGAUGAAAAAUGUUGGAAAGCGAUGCAACAAUGUUUCUUUGGACGGAAGACGAAGUGGUGUGUUGGAUGGUAGAUGGCUGGACAUAAUUUUUGACCGGCUGCUGCCCGGUUUAAGAAAGUCAUGCCUAUUAGCCGCCAUUAAGGCCACCCUACGGAAAGUCGAUUCCCUGAGGGAAGGAAAGGCGACGUCGCUCUCCAUUUUUACUUUCCUGCGCGAGCUGGAGGGAGAAAGUAACGUGAAACUGACGAAUGAUGCUUGGUUUCCCAGAACUUACUUCUCCAUAAAUACGUACUUGAAAAAAGUCAAUUAACGAUUGCAUUCGUACGUUGUAGAACAUUUUUAUUUCAACAUGCUGUACAGUUCCACUAAAUCCAUUUAAAAAGUUUUCAUUUUCUUUCCUAAAAUUUCAAUUUCAAAUAACAAACUAUAAUGUUUAAAUUACGAUAUAAAACUCUAGAAUUAAUAAACUCGAUAAUAUUACGAAUUAUAUUUCUACGAACGGAGAUUAUGGUCUAAAGAUCUUUGAAGCCUCGUUAGCGAAAUUUUUUAUUUACAAUAUUAAUUUUACAAAUUACAAUUACAAUUACAAAUUUAAUUACAAUUAGAAAUGAAAUUCAUUAAACAAUACCAAACUUUAUUACAUUUUUUUUUUUUUUUUGGCCGAUUGAAAUAAUAGUAAGAAUAAUACGAUUAAGGAAUUUGUCUCACACGUGUCGAUGUAAACGCGGCAUAAUAUUUUGCAAAGAUUGUACCGCGACUGCCAGCACGAAAUACGUAGAAAUUCGCGUGACAGCGAACGUACUAACAAAUUAACCAGCCUUUCUAUGAGUAUUCUCUGAUAAAACGUAAAAAGUCGUUCGCCAGAGCCACACUCAACAUUCCGACGGGAGGCUAAAUUUCAAGUCGACCCAGCAACAACGAAAGUAUGACCGCUGCACGAGAAGAAACGACGUGUCCACCGAGGGGACCAGUUUUUCCACGGCGGGAACCGAUCCACGCGUGAUCUCGCCGGACCGCUUCUUGCGGAUCGGCCCUCAGUCGGCGAUCAUCCGAAAGUCCCCGCCGGGGAACGUUGAUCGCCGCUCUCGACGUGGUUACUUUCGAUAAACGUGAGCGACCGCGUCCCCUCGCGCCACCAAUACUACGCUACCGGUCGAAAAUUUCGGAGAAAACCAUAAUUGUUGGCCAGGUGGGUCGAACAGGGGACAGCGAGGCCUAAAAAGUAAUCUGGAUGCAAAUGGAAACGGGGAACCAGAGGUUUUGUGUCGACGAUGGUAGCGAGAAGACGUUUGAGAAUGUUUGGUCUUCGUGGAAACGAGACUUUACGAUAGAUUCGCUAGAUACGGCAGCUACAUCCAUUGUCCGAAUACUUGAAAAUUCUACGCUCAUU